Long non-coding RNA from Bombus terrestris (buff-tailed bumblebee), 1171 nucleotides. RefSeq lists it as uncharacterized. The record is from RefSeq and is a predicted model, not a curated record. Lineage: Eukaryota; Metazoa; Arthropoda; Insecta; Hymenoptera; Apidae. The transcript is spliced from 3 exons.
AUAUAAAUUGAAAAUCCCGCCGAUAAAGAAAUACGGUCUAUCGUUUUUACGCUUUCUGAAUACUGAAAAUGUUCGACCAAGAAGAAUUCACGGUUACUUACAUCCUAUUUUUAGUUUACGAAAAAAUGUCUAAUAUUGUUCGUGAUUUCGUAUUUCUUUUUAUUUACAGAGUGAAAUUUAUUUGAAAACCCUUUGCAUAACGUUUAGAAUAAAAAAUAGUAAUACUAGAGAUAAUAUGUACUCAAAUAGUAGAACUAUCGAUAUUAUCGAUAGUGUUAUUUUUGACAAUAGGCAAAACAAUUCUUACAGAUCGCUAGAGGAAUUAAGAUGUAUCUAUAUGUUUUAAUAUAUUAAAAAUUUAUGUUAAAUACAUAUUAAAACAAUAUAUUAAUAAAAGAGAAAUCACAUUUAAUGUAUGAAAGGUUUUUAUUUCAAUACCGUUGAUUUCUGCACGCUCGAUGAAGGGAGAUCGAGCUUAAAGUUUGAAGUUUAUUUAUACCAAACAACGACUUUGUCCCUCAUUAUGACGCAGUUUAAAUGAAAUCGUACGGCAAAGGGUUAAUUAGUGAUUCAAAAGACAAAAAUUACGCAGUUACAAAGAUUUCUAAAAUAUUGAAAAGAAAUCGGUGUCAAAUUGGAAUCCCUCCACCUGAAAUAUUGCAAAUCGUUGCACAGUGCGGAGUUUGAAUGAACAAAAAUCAAAAUUCGCUGAUCACAUUCGCACGUUCGGUCCUGUCGGAUAAGUGGUUAUGUUUUUCUGCUUACAGAUAUGAGAUCUGCUUAUGACAGAUAUGAGGAGACGCUUUUAAUAGAUAUACUGCGUACCACCCCCACAUAUCCCACCGAUAAAAUAAUCACCAGGUUGUGUUUGUAUAUACCAGAGAAAUAUCUAUAAAUUUUUACAUUCCCUUUCAUUUCGAACAAGAAUUGUCGUUUAGUUACCGGCAUAUUUUCUAAACAAAAUCAAUGGUGAAAUUUCUAUGAUUCAUCGAUAGAUGUGAAACGUUUCCCUCCAUCUUAAAGAAAUUAAACUAAAGGUAAAGGGGAGAUAUCAUCAAUAUUUGAAAUAUUGCAAAAACUUCGAAAAUAGAAGAGUACGACUUAAGACAGAAUAAUUACCAAAGUUAUAACUGGAUAUAUAGACACCGAAAACGUUGCAAUUGGACCAAUG